This 468-nucleotide ribosomal RNA is filed under the name uncultured bacterium. Its description in RNAcentral is "partial 16S ribosomal RNA". It matches the Rfam family "Bacterial small subunit ribosomal RNA", at positions 28 to 507 of the family's 1533-position model. The record is from RNAcentral.
GACGAACGCUGGCGGCGUGCUUAACACAUGCAAGUCGAACGGAAAGGCCCUGCUUUUGUGGGGUGCUCGAGUGGCGAACGGGUGAGUAACACGUGAGUAACCUGCCCUUGACUUUGGGAUAACUUCAGGAAACUGGGGCUAAUACCGGAUAGGAGCUCCUGCUGCAUGGUGGGGGUUGGAAAUUUUCGGCGGUUGGGGAUGGACUCGCGGCUUAUCAGCUUGUUGGUGGGGUAGUGGCUUACCAAGGCUUUGACGGGUAGCCGGCCUGGGAGGGUGACCGGCGACAUUGGGACUAAGAUACGGCCCAGACUCCUACGGGAGGCAGCAGUGGGGAAUAUUGCACAAUGGGCGGAAGCCUGAUGCAGAAACGCCGCGUGCGGGAUGACGGCCUUCGGGUUGUAAACCGCUUUAGCCUGUGACGAAGCGUGAGUGACGGUAAUGGGUAAAGAAGCACCGGCUAACUACGUG